Long non-coding RNA from Macadamia integrifolia, 5959 nucleotides. RefSeq lists it as uncharacterized. The transcript has 3 exons. NCBI's taxonomy places the organism in Eukaryota, Viridiplantae, Streptophyta, Magnoliopsida, Proteales, Proteaceae. The record is from RefSeq and is a predicted model, not a curated record.
UCUAUAUUCGGAAUCUUCAUCAAGUAAUUUUAAAAUGUGUAAAAAAAAAAAAAAAACCCAUAAGACGCCACUUCACGUAAGGCGGAGCACUGCCUUACCAUCUCUAGACCGCAUCAGAGCCAAGGCCCUGGUAAGGCAACGCCUUAGCAGCGCCUUAAAAACUAUGUUUGGGACUUUCAUUCCUAAGCUAUUUUGAGAUCUAGUUCAUCAUCGGGUCUUGAAAAAGAGAACCCAUUUUAAUCCUCAGUACAUUUAUCUAUGGUAUGGGAUUCUACACUCUGUAUUUACCAAGGAAAAAAAUCUACUCUAUUCCACAUUGGAUAAGGAGGCGAGCAAACCCUUUGUCAGCUCCACCUCAUCAUCCCAUAUAAAAUUUCUUUACCUAUUAUUAGUCCCACAUCGGGCGAUGGAGAAAACAUCUCACUUGGGUUUUCCUAUAUAAAGGCAUCAUUGGUCCCAAUGGAAAGGAGGAAGAAAUCUUGGGUAUCGGGUCUGGAGAAAUCUUUGUUUUGGGUUUCCUACAAUCAACCCACUAGUUAACAUUUUUUUUUUAGUUUCGGCCUUGAGCUUGGGCUCGGCCUUGAGCAUUUUCAGAAGGGAUUUUCCUUUUAAUAGAAGAUUUGUGACACUUGGACGGGCUGAAUCCACGUGGUUUGCUGAGUCGGUGAAACCCAAUCAAGGCAUCAUUGGUCCCAAAGGAAAAAGGAGGAGGAAAUCUUGGGUAUUGGGUCUGGAGAAAUCUUUGUUUUGGGUUUCCUACCAUCAGCCCACUAGACAUUUUUAUAGUUUCGGCCUUGAGCUUGGGCUUGGCCUUGAGCACAUUCAAAAGGGAUUUUCCUUUUAAUAGAAGAUAUGCGACACUUGGACGGGCUGGAUUCACGUGGUUUGCUGAGUCGGCGAAACCCAAUCAAGGUAUUUUUCUUUAACCCAUUUGUUUAGUUAAUUAAUUGGCAUGUUUAGUUAAUUAUAAUAUUUGAUUAGGUUAGUACAUUUAUUUAUGGUAUGGGAUUCUGCAUUUCGUAUUUACCAAGGAAAAGAAUCUACUCUAUUCCACAUCGGAUAAGGAGGCGAGCAAACCCCUUGUCAGCUCCACCUCAUCAUCCCAUAUCAAAUUUAUUUACCUAUUAUUAGUCCCACUUCGGGCGAUGGAGAAAACAUCUCACUUGGGUUUUCCUAUAUAAAGGCAUCAUUGGUCCCAAUGGAAAGGUGGAAGAAAUCUUGGGUAUCGGGCCUGGAGAAAUCUUUGGUUUGGGUUUCCUACCAUCAGCCCACUAGUUAACCUUUUUUUUUAAGUUUCGGCCUUGAGCUUGGGCUCGGCCUUGAGCAUUUUCAGAAGGGAUUUUCCUUUUAAUAGAAGAUUUGUGACACUGGACGGGCUGGAUCCACAUGGUUUGCUAAGUCGGCGAAACCCAAUCAAGAGGAACCGAUAUGCUGCUGUCUUGUAUUUUUAUGGUGACAGUCUGUGCUUGCAUUGUUGAUUGAAGGUGAAAGGUAUUUGGACAUUGAAUGUUUCAGUUAUAUUCUGUACAUGCACAUAUUCCAUUUAACAUGAGUUUUAAGGAGGAGAUAAGAAAUGCAUUCUUGGGUAGAGUAAUUUUUAUUUGGUCUGAUUCAUUUUUGUGAUCCCAUUGAUUAGUAGAUGAUGUUGUAAUUGGCACUGAUCAUCUAUUUGAUAAAUUCCUGAAUGAAAUUCUAUGCCAUGAUCAUAUUUUCGGUUUUUAUGGAAUGGAUAAUAUUUAGGGGAGCCUUUUUCCCCCCCUUAUUUGAAAUUGAUGGCCGGUGCUCUUGGAUUCAGUUUGAUAAGCCAACCUUUGCAUUGGAUCCCAAACCUCACAAAUUGGAAGCCUUCGCUCUGACCCACUCUGAGCUCGGAUCGUCCCUAUUUGGUCUGAUUAUUCUCCCUGAGUCCUUUACUAAUGUUCCUGCUGUGACAUACAGAAUUCUCACUUAUUUGAAGUUCCUUGGGGCUCCUAUGCUCAGUCACGGCCCUGGCCCAAAUCAAACAAGAUAAUGUGUAGUCAAUUGGGGGUUUGGUAGGCCUUUUAAAAUGUUUAAUGGGUUACAGCUUUCAAACCAUUCACUGCUAAUUCCCAGGCACACAGACGAAUGAUUACUGAAUUUGGGGAAUUUGCUGGCCCACUCCAGCCCUUUAUGAGCUUAGUCAACAGACUUAUUCAGCAUUCUUUUCAUAGUUAGUAUGAUUAGGGUGUUUUUAAUUUAUCAUGUUCUUAGUGUAAUUUAAAUUAGGCUAAAUUGAUAUAAUCCGCAUGCCUAGUGUAAUUCAUUUAAGAUCUUAUUUCUGUUUAAACUAGCUAAUGUAAUCAUAAAAUAAUCUUAUAUUAAUUAUUUUAUUUUAUAGCAUUCAGUAGUAUAAUGUAAUCCUAUUUCACAUCACAUAGUUAUAACAUAUCAUUUAGAUAUUAAUGUAGCCACAGUGUCUACUCUUCACAUACGAUAAAUUAACAUAGCACAUCAUGUAGACAUAUAAUAUAUAGUAUAAUCUUAGCAUAUUUAAUAUGCGAGCAAAACUUGUAGCUGGACUUCUUUUCCCAUCAUAUGAUGAUGUGGCAUUAGGGAAAAAGGUCAAACAUUGUAAUUUGAAACCUGGUCCAACCUCUCCUCUCCUUUUUUCUCUCCUUUGCAGAUUAGAUCUCUUAGCAAACACCCCCGCCUGCAAGAUCCCCAUAAUUCCCUUUAUUCCCUUGCCACAACUAUGCCUAAGGAUUAAGGAGGGCCUCGGAAGAAUUGAGUGCAGGAACAGGAGGAGCUCCUCCAAAUAAGAAACUCCCCUUGUACUUUUAUCGUUACUCUCACUCAAUUGAUUAGUAAAUUCAACCAUUACUCACCGCCCAUACCAGCAAAUCAAAGUCCAAGAGUAGCUGAAUGGUAGAAAAACAGGGGUGGGGGGGGGGUUAGUUCAUCCUGUAAUUCCAAGAAAGAAGAGAAGCAAUGACUUCUGGAUUCCCCAUCCUCUUGCCACAAAUUGGAUGAAGCAAACAUAUUUCUUUUUUGCUGAGCAUAUCAUCGUAGCUGGACGUGGACGGUUCAAGGGAAUGGUUGAAAACAAGGGCUCCGCCUUGUCACCGGUUGUCUGCCCCAUUUCGGGUUCUUGUCAAUGGAGGCCUUCAUUGGUAAGAAGAGAUGCACUUUCCUGGUUGUCUGUGGAUGACAAAGUGUAUGACCUUGAAUCCCACGAAAAACUACAACAGUGAUCAUUUAGAUCCAUGUCCUCCAUUUUCACUGUGUCAGGUUCACAUUUGGGUAUCUUCAAUUUUUGUUUACUGGCUAUGGGUAUGUUGGUUUUCUGGUCUAGGGAUUUGGUUUGAGCCUUUGAGAUCUGCUACUUUGGAACUCUUGCUUCCCCAUGCUUGCCCAGUAGUUUAGGUUUCUUGAUUCAGCUACAACAUGUUGGGCGCAUAUUGUGGAAGCACAUGGUGGGUUGAGAUCAAUCCAUUCAGAUUCCUCAAAUUCCGAGGACCAAAUCGAUUAGCUUGAGUUUUAAAUUUUUUGUUUCAUCUUGUCUGCCUCACCACGUCCAAAUCACUAUCCUCUUCCUUUCUUCUGCCUCCUCUGGAGAUGGAGAGAGAAACGGAAACCUUUCCUUCGGUUAGGGUUUUGGAUGAGGAUCGUUGUGAAUUUACAUUAUUGUUUUACCAAUUGGGAGAAGAGGAAGAAAAAGAUGAUAGGAGCAGAAGUCACCACUGUUGUUUCCAACGGCAGAGUAGUAGAGAAGCAGAAGAAGGGAGACUGGAAAUGGGGUUACCUAUUUGGUAUCGAUUCAGAUACAGAUCAUCAGAGAAGGAGUGGUGGAGGAGAUCGUCAUUCCUGCUAUUUUCUAGUGGAAUUUCAUGGUUUGACUUUGAUAGUUGCAGAUUUCAACUAUUUUUUCCGGCAUAUCUUCCGUGAUUGACGUUGCUUUUAAAGUUAGAAGAAGACGAAGGGGCUUUGGCUCAAGUUGAGCCAUUAUGUUAUCCAAGCCAAGCCUCAAAAAGGAAAGUUCCCACUUUAUCCCUUAUUCCAAAUGGCUCAAAAGAGAAAGCCAACGGUAGGAAAAAGUGGUUACAACAGAUCGGUUACGAACAGAUUAUCCCAUUUAAUAUAGUUAGUAUAUAAAUACAUUUAGUAUUUAACUUAAAUUAAUUAAUCAAAAUAACUUUAAUUAGUUAAAAUCCUUAACACAUUAGUUUAAUUGGGAUCUCAUAACAUAUUUAAACACGUCGCUUAGGGCCAGUUUACCAACUAGCUUAAUUAGGAUUCCGUUACUCACUUAAUCAUUCAUCUAGGGUUAGGUUUAAUUGUUUGUAAUUAGUCUAAGUAAGUUUCAUGAGACGUUAAUUUUGUCUUUAGGUUAAAUCUUCAUUUAAUUAGCUUAAUUAGUCUAAUAUACCAUAACCUAGAUAAGACAACUUAGAAACUUGGUUUAGGGGUCAACACAGUCCAUGCCUAGUCACUUAGCUUAGGACUUUACCCAAUGACUUAGAUUAGAAUUAGUUAAUAGCAAUGGUCUAUAUAGAAAGAGAAAGACCUUUGGCUGGGCAUAUUGGGUGCCUAACACCUUCCCAGCCUAUAACUUGACACUUACCCAGUGACCUGGGGCAGACUAUAGCUGAUUCAUGGAGUUUAUAGUCUCUUUCCCUUGACUGGGGGAAACAUUCAUGGGUCCUAGACCCCUCUAGGUGGCGACUCCCAAUUUACCCAUUUACUCUCUUUCAAUGUGAGUGGGUACAUUCUCGAGGUGGAAACACCUAGACCCCUGAUAAGUACUUACCUAUUAAUCCAGCGACGCCUCCCCUGGCGCUCAUAUGAUCAUGUAGCUACACCUAAUUAAGAUUGCAAAGGUGGCAUGGUCUUUUUCAUUUAAGGCAAACUAGAAUGCCACUUUGUGGAAAACAACAAUUGUGAGUUGGUAUCCUCUUUGGAAGGAUGAGUGGUGACAACAAUUGUAUAUCAUGGAAGGAGAUUUACGUCUUAUUUUCUAGAAUGAGUAACCGUAAAAUUAUUGUUUUGCAAAUAAUUUAUAGCCAAAUAGCUAUGGGCCCAAGCCAAUCUAUUAAUUUGUGCAUCAUAGUUAUCGCUAAUGCGGAGUUUCCAACAGAACAAUUACCUAUCUUGCAUUAAACUGCGAGGUAUUGACUGUUCUCAUUUAAACCAUACUAAAUCCUUACUCAGUCUAGUCGUUAAAUAGUGUCUUGCCCGGAAGUGAAAAUGAUCCUUCCAUCCUAGUUAAUCAACAAGAUGAAGGAUUUGUGCACAAAUCGAUCAAUGAUUUACCAGAGGAUAUAAAGUUUGUUUAUUUCUUUUUUUUAUAUCAAUGUUUUUUUAGAGUUCACCAAAAUAGUUUAAUUGGAUUUGUCUACUUUAGGAUUAUUUGUAAGUGCCUUCGUAUUCACUUUCAAUUUCAUCAAUUGAGUGAGCAGUUGCGGUUUAACUCUAGAAUCUGUCCUUACUUUAUGUUUGCAACGAUUUGAGAUGCCUAAGAUUAAGAGGGCAAGAAAGUUAAAGAUAUAUGUUCUUGAUUUUGAAAUUUUAUUGAUGAAAAUAUCAUCUUCAACUUUCCUCUUGUGACUUGCAACUGAUGCUUUGUACAAUUUAAGGGUGGCAUGCAAGUAGUGGUAUAAUAUGAUUUUGAUCUUCAAUUUGCAUAUUCCAACAUCUCUUAUGUGGAACCUUGUAUCACGCUCAAAACUCUAGUCUAUAAUUUUGAUAGAUUGAGUUUUAUAAAGAUGAAAGGAGGAGAGGUCAGCAUACACAAUAAGCAACAAGGGAGAAAGUGGUUACAGAAGAUUCCCACCAAAUUGAGUUGGAUGACAAAAACCCUUGAUGUUAGACUAGUUUUGAGAAAGCGGCACUUAAAGGCGGCCACGGCAGUGGUGCUCUACGCUUAUUUUUCAUAAUUUAAUAUUAUGCGCCUAGAGUCAAAAGACCUUAAGUAAAGUCUCAUCUACCCAAGGAUUAAAGU